GUGCCCAUAGUUUAGCGGUAAAACGCUGGGUUGUGGUCCUAGUAUCAAGGGUUCGACUCCCUUUGGGCACCCCA
This 74-nucleotide transfer RNA is filed under the name Candidatus Falkowbacteria bacterium CG10_big_fil_rev_8_21_14_0_10_37_14. RNAcentral describes it as "tRNA-His". It matches the Rfam family "tRNA". From Rfam's summary of the family: Transfer RNA (tRNA) molecules are approximately 80 nucleotides in length. Their secondary structure includes four short double-helical elements and three loops (D, anti-codon, and T loops). The record is from RNAcentral. Lineage: Bacteria; Candidatus Falkowiibacteriota. RNAcentral also lists the same sequence under 1 other name.